This 421-nucleotide ribosomal RNA is filed under the name uncultured bacterium. RNAcentral describes it as "bacterial SSU rRNA". It matches the Rfam family "Bacterial small subunit ribosomal RNA", at positions 355 to 774 of the family's 1533-position model. The record is from RNAcentral.
UAAGGAAUAUUGGUCAAUGGACGCAAGUCUGAACCAGCCAUGCCGCGUGAAGGAUGAAGGUCCUCUGGAUUGUAAACUUCUUUUAUCUGGGACGAAAACGGGAUUUUUAUCUCAAUUGACGGUACCAGAGGAAUAAGCACCGGCUAACUCCGUGCCAGCAGCCGCGGUAAUACGGAGGGUGCGAGCGUUAUCCGGAUUUACUGGGUUUAAAGGGUGCGUAGGUGGGCUUAUAAGUCAGUGGUGAAAUCUCCGAGCUUAACUUGGAAACUGCCGUUGAUACUAUAGGUCCUGAGUUAUCUGGAGGUAAGCGGAUUAUGUCAUGUAGCGGUGAAAUGCUUAGAUAUGACAUAGAACACCAAUUGCGAAGGCAGCUUACUACAUAUAAAUUGACGCUGAGGCACGAAAGCGUGGGGAUCAAACA